RNAcentral lists this microRNA precursor (52 nucleotides) under Nomascus leucogenys (northern white-cheeked gibbon). RNAcentral's name for it is "mir-1302 microRNA precursor family". It matches the Rfam family "mir-1302 microRNA precursor family". Lineage: Eukaryota; Metazoa; Chordata; Mammalia; Primates; Hylobatidae. The record is from Rfam by way of RNAcentral.
UUUUUAUUAUAAGUAUAUUCCAUGAAAUGUUUGGAACAUACUUGUAGUAAAA